Molecule: ribosomal RNA, 450 nt
Filed under: uncultured bacterium
Lineage: Bacteria
Description: bacterial SSU rRNA
Rfam family: Bacterial small subunit ribosomal RNA
Source: RNAcentral
GUGGGGAAUAUUGGACAAUGGGCGAAAGCCUGAUCCAGCCAUGCCGCGUGUGUGAAGAAGGUCUUCGGAUUGUAAAGCACUUUAAGUUGGGAGGAAGGGCAGUAAGUUAAUACCUUGCUGUUUUGACGUUACCGACAGAAUAAGCACCGGCUAACUUCGUGCCAGCAGCCGCGGUAAUACGAAGGGUGCAAGCGUUAAUCGGAAUUACUGGGCGUAAAGCGCGCGUAGGUGGUUCAGCAAGUUGAAGGUGAAAUCCCCGGGCUCAACCUGGGAACUGCCUCCAAAACUACUGAGCUAGAGUACGGUAGAGGGUAGUGGAAUUUCCUGUGUAGCGGUGAAAUGCGUAGAUAUAGGAAGGAACACCAGUGGCGAAGGCGACUACCUGGACUGAUACUGACACUGAGGUGCGAAAGCGUGGGGAGCAAACAGGAUUAGAAACCCCGGUAGUCC